RNAcentral lists this transfer RNA (75 nucleotides) under Medicago truncatula (barrel medic). RNAcentral's name for it is "tRNA-OTHER". The record is from RNAcentral. Lineage: Eukaryota; Viridiplantae; Streptophyta; Magnoliopsida; Fabales; Fabaceae.
GUGAGCAUAGCUCAGUUGGUAGAACAAUGCAUUAUUAUAUGUAGGGGUCGGGGUUCGAACCCCGGACACCUCAUU